CGCGGCGAGAGCGGGUCG
This 18-nucleotide small nuclear RNA is filed under the name Arabidopsis thaliana (thale cress). RNAcentral describes it as "snRNA_05934". The record is from RNAcentral. Lineage: Eukaryota; Viridiplantae; Streptophyta; Magnoliopsida; Brassicales; Brassicaceae.